UGGGGAAUAUUGCACAAUGGGCGAAAGCCUGAUGCAGCGACGCCGCGUGCGGGAUGAAGGCCUUCGGGUUGUAAACCGCUUUUAAUUGGGAGCAAGCGAGAGUGAGUGUACCUUUUGAAUAAGCACCGGCUAACUACGUGCCAGCAGCCGCGGUAAUACGUAGGGUGCAAGCGUUAUCCGGAAUUAUUGGGCGUAAAGAGCUCGUAGGCGGUUUGUCACGCCUGGUGUGAAAGUCCAUCGCUUAACGGUGGAUCUGCGCCGGGUACGGGCAGGCUAGAGUGCAGUAGGGGAGAUUGGAAUUCCCGGUGUAACGGUGGAAUGUGUAGAUAUCGGGAAGAACACCAAUGGCGAAGGCAGAUCUCUGGGC
RNAcentral lists this ribosomal RNA (367 nucleotides) under uncultured bacterium. RNAcentral's name for it is "partial 16S ribosomal RNA". It matches the Rfam family "Bacterial small subunit ribosomal RNA", at positions 355 to 734 of the family's 1533-position model. The record is from RNAcentral.